GGUUAAGCGACUAAGCGUACACGGUGGAUGCCCUGGCAGUCAGAGGCGAUGAAGGACGUGCUAAUCUGCGAUAAGCGUCGGUAAGGUGAUAUGAACCGUUAUAACCGGCGAUUUCCGAAUGGGGAAACCCAGUGUGUUUCGACACACUAUCAUUAACUGAAUCCAUAGGUUAAUGAGGCGAACCGGGGGAACUGAAACAUCUAAGUACCCCGAGGAAAAGAAAUCAACCGAGAUUCCCCCAGUAGCGGCGAGCGAACGGGGAGCAGCCCAGAGCCUGAAUCAGUGUGUGUGUUAGUGGAAGCGUCUGGAAAGGCGCGCGAUACAGGGUGACAGCCCCGUACACAAAAAUGCACAUGCUGUGAGCUCGAUGAGUAGGGCGGGACACGUGGUAUCCUGUCUGAAUAUGGGGGGACCAUCCUCCAAGGCUAAAUACUCCUGACUGACCGAUAGUGAACCAGUACCGUGAGGGAAAGGCGAAAAGAACCCCGGCGAGGGGAGUGAAAAAGAACCUGAAACCGUGUACGUACAAGCAGUGGGAGCACGCUUCGGCGUGUGACUGCGUACCUUUUGUAUAAUGGGUCAGCGACUUAUAUUCUGUAGCAAGGUUAACCGAAUAGGGGAGCCGAAGGGAAACCGAGUCUUAACUGGGCGUUAAGUUGCAGGGUAUAGACCCGAAACCCGGUGAUCUAGCCAUGGGCAGGUUGAAGGUUGGGUAACACUAACUGGAGGACCGAACCGACUAAUGUUGAAAAAUUAGCGGAUGACUUGUGGCUGGGGGUGAAAGGCCAAUCAAACCGGGAGAUAGCUGGUUCUCCCCGAAAGCUAUUUAGGUAGCGCCUCGUGAAUUCAUCUCCGGGGGUAGAGCACUGUUUCGGCAAGGGGGUCAUCCCGACUUACCAACCCGAUGCAAACUGCGAAUACCGGAGAAUGUUAUCACGGGAGACACACGGCGGGUGCUAACGUCCGUCGUGAAGAGGGAAACAACCCAGACCGCCAGCUAAGGUCCCAAAGUCAUGGUUAAGUGGGAAACGAUGUGGGAAGGCCCAGACAGCCAGGAUGUUGGCUUAGAAGCAGCCAUCAUUUAAAGAAAGCGUAAUAGCUCACUGGUCGAGUCGGCCUGCGCGGAAGAUGUAACGGGGCUAAACCAUGCACCGAAGCUGCGGCAGCGACGCUGAUGCGUUGUUGGGUAGGGGAGCGUUCUGUAAGCCUGCGAAGGUGUGCUGUGAGGCAUGCUGGAGGUAUCAGAAGUGCGAAUGCUGACAUAAGUAACGAUAAAGCGGGUGAAAAGCCCGCUCGCCGGAAGACCAAGGGUUCCUGUCCAACGUUAAUCGGGGCAGGGUGAGUCGACCCCUAAGGCGAGGCCGAAAGGCGUAGUCGAUGGGAAACAGGUUAAUAUUCCUGUACUUGGUGUUACUGCGAAGGGGGGACGGAGAAGGCUAUGUUGGCCGGGCGACGGUUGUCCCGGUUUAAGCGUGUAGGCUGGUUUUCCAGGCAAAUCCGGAAAAUCAAGGCUGAGGCGUGAUGACGAGGCACUACGGUGCUGAAGCAACAAAUGCCCUGCUUCCAGGAAAAGCCUCUAAGCAUCAGGUAACAUCAAAUCGUACCCCAAACCGACACAGGUGGUCAGGUAGAGAAUACCAAGGCGCUUGAGAGAACUCGGGUGAAGGAACUAGGCAAAAUGGUGCCGUAACUUCGGGAGAAGGCACGCUGAUAUGUAGGUGAAGUCCCUCGCGGAUGGAGCUGAAAUCAGUCGAAGAUACCAGCUGGCUGCAACUGUUUAUUAAAAACACAGCACUGUGCAAACACGAAAGUGGACGUAUACGGUGUGACGCCUGCCCGGUGCCGGAAGGUUAAUUGAUGGGGUUAGCGCAAGCGAAGCUCUUGAUCGAAGCCCCGGUAAACGGCGGCCGUAACUAUAACGGUCCUAAGGUAGCGAAAUUCCUUGUCGGGUAAGUUCCGACCUGCACGAAUGGCGUAAUGAUGGCCAGGCUGUCUCCACCCGAGACUCAGUGAAAUUGAACUCGCUGUGAAGAUGCAGUGUACCCGCGGCAAGACGGAAAGACCCCGUGAACCUUUACUAUAGCUUGACACUGAACAUUGAGCCUUGAUGUGUAGGAUAGGUGGGAGGCUUAGAAGUGUGGACGCCAGUCUGCAUGGAGCCGACCUUGAAAUACCACCCUUUAAUGUUUGAUGUUCUAACGUGGACCCGUAAUCCGGGUUGCGGACAGUGUCUGGUGGGUAGUUUGACUGGGGCGGUCUCCUCCUAAAGAGUAACGGAGGAGCACGAAGGUUGGCUAAUCCUGGUCGGACAUCAGGAGGUUAGUGCAAUGGCAUAAGCCAGCUUGACUGCGAGCGUGACGGCGCGAGCAGGUGCGAAAGCAGGUCAUAGUGAUCCGGUGGUUCUGAAUGGAAGGGCCAUCGCUCAACGGAUAAAAGGUACUCCGGGGAUAACAGGCUGAUACCGCCCAAGAGUUCAUAUCGACGGCGGUGUUUGGCACCUCGAUGUCGGCUCAUCACAUCCUGGGGCUGAAGUAGGUCCCAAGGGUAUGGCUGUUCGCCAUUUAAAGUGGUACGCGAGCUGGGUUUAGAACGUCGUGAGACAGUUCGGUCCCUAUCUGCCGUGGGCGCUGGAGAACUGAGGGGGGCUGCUCCUAGUACGAGAGGACCGGAGUGGACGCAUCACUGGUGUUCGGGUUGUCAUGCCAAUGGCACUGCCCGGUAGCUAAAUGCGGAAGAGAUAAGUGCUGAAAGCAUCUAAGCACGAAACUUGCCCCGAGAUGAGUUCUCCCUGACUCCUUGAGAGUCCUGAAGGAACGUUGAAGACGACGACGUUGAUAGGCCGGGUGUGUAAGCGCAGCGAUGCGUUGAGCUAACCGGUACUAAUGAACCGUGAGGCUUAACCUU
RNAcentral lists this ribosomal RNA (2904 nucleotides) under Escherichia coli. Its description in RNAcentral is "23S ribosomal RNA". It matches the Rfam family "Bacterial large subunit ribosomal RNA". The record is from RNAcentral. Lineage: Bacteria; Pseudomonadati; Pseudomonadota; Gammaproteobacteria; Enterobacterales; Enterobacteriaceae.